GGAUGUGAGGGCGAUCUGACUGUGACAUGUAACCGCAUUGAUUGCCAGGAUUGAUCAGGCUGAUCUGCUGGCUAGGCGGGUGUCCCCUUCCUCCCUCACCACUCCAUUUGCAUCCCUCCCAAAGCUGCAUGCUCGGUCUAAGAGGACAGCCAUCCUCCAUAGAGAAGGACUGGUCUUGGGUGAAGGGUAUACGAGUAGCUGCGCUCCCCUGCUAGAACCUCUAAAUAAGCUCUCAAGAAUGAAAUGAGUGUGCAGAAAAAAAUGAGCUAGAAGAUAACACAUUCACAAUAUAAGACAAAAGUAUCUGGAGUGCCUGU
This is an unclassified non-coding RNA of Dipodomys ordii (Ord's kangaroo rat), 317 nucleotides long. Its record names the gene 7SK. It matches the Rfam family "7SK RNA". Rfam says of the family: 7SK was discovered as an abundant small nuclear RNA in the mid-70s but a possible function has only recently been suggested. Two independent studies have found that 7SK RNA binds the CDK9/cyclin T complex (known as elongation factor P-TEFb). The record is from Ensembl. Lineage: Eukaryota; Metazoa; Chordata; Mammalia; Rodentia; Heteromyidae.